AUUGAACGCUGGCGGCAGGCCUAACACAUGCAAGUCGAACGAGUGGCGGACGGGUGAGUAAUGUCUGGGAAACUGCCUGAUGGAGGGGGCUAACUACUGGAAACGGUAGCCAAUACCGCAUACCAUCAGAUGUGCCCAGAUGGGAUUAGCUUGUUGGUGGGGUAACGGCUCACCAAGGCGACGAUCCAUAGCUGGUCUGAGAGGAUGACCAGCCAUACUCGAACUGAGCCACGGUCCAGAGUCCUACGGAAGGAAACAGUGGAGAAUAUUGCACAAUGGGAGGAAGUCUUAUGCAGCCAUGUGGAGUGUAUUAAGAAGGCCUUUGGGUUUAAAAGUGCUGUCAGCCGGGAGGCGUUAUCCGCAGAAGAAGCACCGGCUAACUCCGUGCCAGCAGCCGCGGUAAUAA
RNAcentral lists this ribosomal RNA (406 nucleotides) under uncultured bacterium. Its description in RNAcentral is "partial 16S ribosomal RNA". It matches the Rfam family "Bacterial small subunit ribosomal RNA", at positions 30 to 526 of the family's 1533-position model. The record is from RNAcentral.